AUCACUUCUUGGUUCUUUGGCUAAGACCGAAUGUAGUAUCUGUUCUUAUCAUUUUACUAUCUGAUACAACACCUCUCUGGGGCCCAUUUAUUAAAGGGAAUUUUAGAAUAGGGCGAUGGAAGAAAAGCUUUUGCUUUCCACUUCACGCCUUGACGUGUUAUUGCAUUACUUCCAGGACCGGUACACAAUGC
Molecule: small nuclear RNA, 191 nt
Organism: Pseudophryne corroboree (corroboree frog)
Lineage: Eukaryota; Metazoa; Chordata; Amphibia; Anura; Myobatrachidae
Product: U2 spliceosomal RNA
Exons: 1
Source: RefSeq, a predicted model, not a curated record